AUUUUUUUUGUUUGCAAUUCAA
This 22-nucleotide transfer RNA is filed under the name Mellera submutica. RNAcentral describes it as "partial tRNA-Ala". The record is from RNAcentral. Lineage: Eukaryota; Viridiplantae; Streptophyta; Magnoliopsida; Lamiales; Acanthaceae.